Molecule: ribosomal RNA, 416 nt
Filed under: uncultured beta proteobacterium
Lineage: Bacteria; Pseudomonadati; Pseudomonadota; Betaproteobacteria
Description: bacterial SSU rRNA
Rfam family: Bacterial small subunit ribosomal RNA
Source: RNAcentral
GAGUUUGAUCCAUGGCUCAGAUUGAACGCUGGCGGAAUGCUUUACACAUGCAAGUCGAGCGGCAGCGCGGGGCAACCUGGCGGCGAGCGGCGAACGGGUGAGUAAUGCAUCGGAACAUGUCCAUGGAUGGGGGAUAGCCCGGCGAAAGCCGGAUUAAUACCGCAUGAGCCCGAGAGGGGAAAGUGGGGGACCGCAAGGCCUCACGUCGAUGGGUUGGCCGAUGCCCGAUUAGCUAGUUGGUGAGGUAAAGGCUCACCAAGGCGAUGAUCGGUAGCUGGUCUGAGAGGAUGAUCAGCCACACUGGGACUGAGACACGGCCCAGACUCCUACGGGAGGCAGCAGUGGGGAAUUUUGGACAAUGGGGGCAACCCUGAUCCAGCCAUUCCGCGUGAGUGAAGAAGGCCUUCGGUUGUAAG